UGGGGGAUAUUGGACAAUGGGGGGAACCCUGAUCCAGCGACGCCGCGUGAGUGAAGAAGUAUCUCGGUAUGUAAAGCUCUAUCAGCAGGGAAGAAGAAAUGACGGUACCUGAGUAAGAAGCCCCGGCUAACUACGUGCCAGCAGCCGCGGUAAUACGUAGGGGGCAAGCGUUAUCCGGAAUUACUGGGUGUAAAGGGAGCGUAGACGGUGAUGUAAGUCUGGAGUGAAAGGCGGGGGCCCAACCCCCGGACUGCUCUGGAAACUAUGUGACUGGAGUGCAGGAGAGGUGAGCGGAAUUCCUAGUGUAGCGGUGAAAUGCGUAGAUAUUAGGAGGAACACCAGUGGCGAAGGCGGCUCACUGGACUGUAACUGACGUUGAGGCUCGAAAGCGUGGGGAGCAAACAGG
Molecule: ribosomal RNA, 406 nt
Filed under: uncultured bacterium
Lineage: Bacteria
Description: bacterial SSU rRNA
Rfam family: Bacterial small subunit ribosomal RNA
Source: RNAcentral